ACGUACGCUGGCGGCGUGCCUCAUCCUUGCCAGUUGAGCGCUGAAGGCUGGUACUUGUACCAACUGGAUGAGCAGCGAACGGGUGAGUAACGCGUGGGGAAUCUGCCUUUGAGCGGGGGACAACAUUUGGAAACGAAUGCUAAUACCGCAUAAAAACUUUAAACACAAGUUUUCAGUUUGAAAGAUGCAAUUGCAUCACUCAAAGAUGAUCCCGCGUUGUAUUAGCUAGUUGGUGAGGUAAAGGCUCACCAAGGCGAUGAUACAUAGCCGACCUGAGAGGGUGGUCGGCCACAAUGGGACUGAGACACGGCCCAAACUCCUACGGGGGGCAGCAGUAGGGAAUCUUCGGAAAUUGGCGAAAGUCUGACCGAGCAACGCCGCGUGAGUGAAGAAGGUUUUCGGAUCGUAAAACUCUGUUGGUAGAGAAGAAAGUUGGUGAGAGUGGAAAGCUCAUCAAGUGACGGUAACUACCCAGAAAGGGACGGCUAACUACGUG
This 496-nucleotide ribosomal RNA is filed under the name uncultured bacterium. RNAcentral describes it as "partial 16S ribosomal RNA". It matches the Rfam family "Bacterial small subunit ribosomal RNA", at positions 29 to 507 of the family's 1533-position model. The record is from RNAcentral.